RNAcentral lists this ribosomal RNA (274 nucleotides) under uncultured bacterium. RNAcentral describes it as "partial 16S ribosomal RNA". It matches the Rfam family "Bacterial small subunit ribosomal RNA", at positions 523 to 796 of the family's 1533-position model. The record is from RNAcentral.
AUACGGAGGGUGCAAGCGUUAUUCGGAAUCACUGGGCGUAAAGGACGCGUAGGCGGGUUGGCAAGUCUGAUGUGAAAUCCUACAGCUUAACUGUAGAACUGCAUUGGAAACUUCCAACCUAGAGUAUGGGAGGGGGAGAUGGAAUUAGUGGUGUAGGGGUAAAAUCCGUAGAUAUCACUAGGAAUACCCAAAGCGAAGGCGAUCUCCUGGAACAUUACUGACGCUAAGGCGUGAAAGCGUGGGGAGCAAACGGGAUUAGAAACCCCAGUAGUCC